This 497-nucleotide ribosomal RNA is filed under the name uncultured bacterium. Its description in RNAcentral is "partial 16S ribosomal RNA". It matches the Rfam family "Bacterial small subunit ribosomal RNA", at positions 28 to 507 of the family's 1533-position model. The record is from RNAcentral.
GAUGAACGCUGGCGGCGUGCCUAAUACAUGCAAGUCGAGCGAACGGACGAGGAGCUUGCUUCUCUGACGUUAGCGGCGGACGGGUGAGUAACACGUGGAUAACCUACCUAUAAGACUGGGAUAACUUCGGGAAACCGUAGCUAAUACCGGAUAAUAUUUUGAACCGCAUGGUUCAAUAGUGAAAGACGGUCUUGCUGUCACUUAUAGAUGGAUCCGCGCUGCAUUAGCUAGUUGGUAAGGUAACGGCUUACCAAGGCAACGAUGCGUAGCCGACCUGAGAGGGUGAUCGGCCACACUGGAACUGAGACACGGUCCAGACUCCUACGGGAGGCAGCAGUAGGGAAUCUUCCGCAAUGGGCGAAAGCCUGACGGAGCAACGCCGCGUGAGUGAUGAAGGUCUUCGGAUCGUAAAACUCUGUUAUUAGGGAAGAACAAAUGUGUAAGUAACUGUGCACAUCUUGACGGUACCUAAUCAGAAAGCCACGGCUAACUACGUG